Molecule: ribosomal RNA, 1021 nt
Filed under: Staphylococcus aureus M1258
Lineage: Bacteria; Bacillati; Bacillota; Bacilli; Caryophanales; Staphylococcaceae
Description: bacterial SSU rRNA
Rfam family: Bacterial small subunit ribosomal RNA
Source: RNAcentral
AGAGUUUGAUCCUGGCUCAGGAUGAACGCUGGCGGCGUGCCUAAUACAUGCAAGUCGAGCGAACGGACGAGAAGCUUGCUUCUCUGAUGUUAGCGGCGGACGGGUGAGUAACACGUGGAUAACCUACCUAUAAGACUGGGAUAACUUCGGGAAACCGGAGCUAAUACCGGAUAAUAUUUUGAACCGCAUGGUUCAAAAGUAAAAGACGGUCUUGCUGUCACUUAUAGAUGGAUCCGCGCUGCAUUAGCUAGUUGGUAAGGUAACGGCUUACCAAGGCAACGAUGCAUAGCCGACCUGAGAGGGUGAUCGGCCACACUGGAACUGAGACACGGUCCAGACUCCUACGGGAGGCAGCAGUAGGGAAUCUUCCGCAAUGGGCGAAAGCCUGACGGAGCAACGCCGCGUGAGUGAUGAAGGUCUUCGGAUCGUAAAACUCUGUUAUUAGGGAAGAACAUAUGUGUAAGUAACUGUGCACAUCUUGACGGUACCUAAUCAGAAAGCCACGGCUAACUACGUGCCAGCAGCCGCGGUAAUACGUAGGUGGCAAGCGUUAUCCGGAAUUAUUGGGCGUAAAGCGCGCGUAGGCGGUUUUUUAAGUCUGAUGUGAAAGCCCACGGCUCAACCGUGGAGGGUCAUUGGAAACUGGAAAACUUGAGUGCAGAAGAGGAAAGUGGAAUUCCAUGUGUAGCGGUGAAAUGCGCAGAGAUAUGGAGGAACACCAGUGGCGAAGGCGACUUUCUGGUCUGUAACUGACGCUGAUGUGCGAAAGCGUGGGGAUCAAACAGGAUUAGAUACCCUGGUAGUCCACGCCGUAAACGAUGAGUGCUAAGUGUUAGGGGGUUUCCGCCCCUUAGUGCUGCAGCUAACGCAUUAAGCACUCCGCCUGGGGAGUACGACCGCAAGGUUGAAACUCAAAGGAAUUGACGGGGACCCGCACAAGCGGUGGAGCAUGUGGUUUAAUUCGAAGCAACGCGAAGAACCUUACCAAAUCUUGACAUCCUUUGACAACUCUAGAGAUAGA